This 843-nucleotide ribosomal RNA is filed under the name uncultured bacterium. RNAcentral describes it as "bacterial SSU rRNA". It matches the Rfam family "Bacterial small subunit ribosomal RNA", at positions 51 to 907 of the family's 1533-position model. The record is from RNAcentral.
ACACAUGCAAGUCGAACGAGCGAGAGAGAGCUUGCUUUCUCGAGCGAGUGGCGAACGGGUGAGUAACGCGUGAGGAACCUGCCUCAAAGAGGGGGACAACAGUUGGAAACGACUGCUAAUACCGCAUAAGCCCACGGUGCCGCAUGGCACAGAGGGAAAAGGAGCAAUCCGCUUUGAGAUGGCCUCGCGUCCGAUUAGCUAGUUGGUGAGGUAACGGCCCACCAAGGCGACGAUCGGUAGCCGGACUGAGAGGUUGAACGGCCACAUUGGGACUGAGACACGGCCCAGACUCCUACGGGAGGCAGCAGUGGGGAAUAUUGCACAAUGGGGGAAACCCUGAUGCAGCGACGCCGCGUGGAGGAAGAAGGUCUUCGGAUUGUAAACUCCUGUUGUUGAGGAAGAUAAUGACGGUACUCAACAAGGAAGUGACGGCUAACUACGUGCCAGCAGCCGCGGUAAAACGUAGGUCACAAGCGUUGUCCGGAAUUACUGGGUGUAAAGGGAGCGCAGGCGGGAAGACAGGUUGGAAGUGAAAUCCAUGGGCUCAACCCAUGAACUGCUUUCAAAACUGUUUUUCUUGAGUAGUGCAGAGGUAGGCGGAAUUCCCGGUGUAGCGGUGGAAUGCGUAGAUAUCGGGAGGAACACCAGUGGCGAAGGCGGCCUACUGGGCACCAACUGACGCUGAGGCUCGAAAGUGUGGGUAGCAAACAGGAUUAGAUACCCUGGUAGUCCACACUGUAAACGAUGAUUACUAGGUGUUGGAGGAUUGACCCCUUCAGUGCCGCAGUUAACACAAUAAGUAAUCCACCUGGGGAGUACGACCGCAAGGUUGAAACUCAAAGG